UAGUCUGUUUCAGGAGACUGAAGUCCCUGCA
RNAcentral lists this non-coding RNA (31 nucleotides) under Mus musculus (house mouse). The record is from RNAcentral. Lineage: Eukaryota; Metazoa; Chordata; Mammalia; Rodentia; Muridae.